Long non-coding RNA from Carya illinoinensis, 498 nucleotides. RefSeq lists it as uncharacterized. The transcript has 2 exons. Lineage: Eukaryota; Viridiplantae; Streptophyta; Magnoliopsida; Fagales; Juglandaceae. The record is from RefSeq and is a predicted model, not a curated record.
CUAGGCGUGGAUGAAACCAGGAAGGAGGGGCGUUUGAAGAAACCUGAGAGAUAAAAAAAAGAAGCUUUGGACAGAGACGAACGCACGGACGCAAGGGAGUUCUUUUGGGCUCUCUGUCCACUUUUGCUCUCUUCUUAAGGUAAAACUGCGUGAACAAAGAAUGAACAGAAAACUCAGUUACAGAGGACAAAAGGUAAGAGAUGUGAAAAAUCAGUCGGGCAGCACACGGGACGCACGAAGUAGACAACACAGAAGUCAGGGGCAAAAGAGUAAUAACAGUCUCUCAGACAGGGGCAAAAUAGUCUAGAUGGUAGAUACAUUGCUUAUUCUCUAUCUAUUAUAGUCUGGUUGAGGGGAAAAAUAGGAGAGAUAAAUGGUAGCACUUUUAUUUCUCUCCCUCAUGAUCAGUCAUCAAUUAUAGAUAAAUGGUAGUGUAUAUAAUAUUUUGAUUUACUGAUCUCCUCUUAAUUAUAAUCCAUAUUAUACUCCAUUAAUCUA